This 468-nucleotide ribosomal RNA is filed under the name uncultured bacterium. Its description in RNAcentral is "partial 16S ribosomal RNA". It matches the Rfam family "Bacterial small subunit ribosomal RNA", at positions 28 to 507 of the family's 1533-position model. The record is from RNAcentral.
GACGAACGCUGGCGGCGUGCUUAACACAUGCAGGUCGAACGGAAAGGCCCUGCUUUUGUGGGGUGCUCGAGUGGCGAACGGGUGAGUAACACGUGAGUAACCUGCCCUUGACUUUGGGAUAACUUCAGGAAACUGGGGCUAAUACCGGAUAGGAGCUCCUGCUACAUGGUGGGGGUUGGAAAGUUUCGGCGGUUGGGGAUGGACUCGCGGCUUAUCAGCUUGUUGGUGGGGUAGUGGCUUACCAAGGCUUUGACGGGUAGCCGGCCUGAGAGGGUGACCGGCCACAUUGGGACUGAGAUACGGCCCAGACUCCUACGGGAGGCAGCAGUGGGGAAUAUUGCACAAUGGGCGGAAGCCUGAUGCAGCAACGCCGCGUGCGGGAUGACGGCCUUCGGGUUGUAAACCGCUUUCGCCUGUGACGAAGCGUGAGUGACGGUAAUGGGUAAAGAAGCACCGGCUAACUACGUG